GAUGAACGCUGGCGGCGUGCCUAAUACAUGCAAGUCGAGCGAACAGAUGAGGAGCUUGCUCCUCUGACGAUAGCGGCGGACGGGUGAGUAACACGUGGAUAACCUACCUAUAAGACUGGGAUAACUUCGGGAAACCGGAGCUAAUACCGGAUAAUAUAUUGAACCGCAUGGUUCAAUAGUGAAAGACGGUUUUGCUGUCACUUAUAGAUGGAUCCGCGCCGCAUUAGCUAGUUGGUAAGGUAACGGCUUACCAAGGCAACGAUGCGUAGCCGACCUGAGAGGGUGAUCGGCCACACUGGAACUGAGACACGGUCCAGACUCCUACGGGAGGCAGCAGUAGGGAAUCUUCCGCAAUGGGCGAAAGCCUGACGGAGCAACGCCGCGUGAGUGAUGAAGGUCUUCGGAUCGUAAAACUCUGUUAUUAGGGAAGAACAAAUGUGUAAGUAACUAUGCACGCCUUGACGGUACCUAAUCAGAAAGCCACGGCUAACUACGUG
RNAcentral lists this ribosomal RNA (497 nucleotides) under uncultured bacterium. RNAcentral describes it as "partial 16S ribosomal RNA". It matches the Rfam family "Bacterial small subunit ribosomal RNA", at positions 28 to 507 of the family's 1533-position model. The record is from RNAcentral.